Molecule: ribosomal RNA, 253 nt
Filed under: uncultured bacterium
Lineage: Bacteria
Description: partial 16S ribosomal RNA
Rfam family: Bacterial small subunit ribosomal RNA
Source: RNAcentral
UACAGGGGGUGCAAACGUUGCUCGGAAUCAUUGGGCGUAAAGCGCACGUAGGCGGUUUGUUAUGUCGGAUGUGAAAGCCCUUGGCUCAACUGAGGAAGUGCACCCGAAACUGAGUGGCUUGAGUACUAAAGAGGGUCGCGGAAUUCCCGGUGUAGAGGUGAAAUUCGUAGAUAUCGGGAGGAACACCGGUGGCGAAGGCGGCGACCUGGGUAGAUACUGACGCUGAGGCGCGAAAGCGUGGGGAGCAAACAGG